This 12013-nucleotide long non-coding RNA is filed under the name Medicago truncatula (barrel medic). Its description in RNAcentral is "long non-coding RNA (MTRU_LNC002427)". The record is from RNAcentral. Lineage: Eukaryota; Viridiplantae; Streptophyta; Magnoliopsida; Fabales; Fabaceae.
GGCCUUAAAAAGCCUGGUACCCGUUAGGGCUAGCCCGAACGGGCCGCGGGUAGCCCGCAUAACAAAAAAAUCCUAUAAAUUAUAUAUAUUUUUCAAAUAAUUCUUUACUUAGUUGAUUAUCAAACUAAAAAAUAAAAGUGAAAAUUCAAUGAAUUAACACAUAUGAAUGUAAUAUAAAAUUAUAUUUACUCGUUUAGUUAUUUAUAAUUGGCUAAAAUGUGCUUUUGGUCCCUGCAAAUAUAGCGAAUUUGGGUUUUGGUCCCUGGUAAAAAAAAAAUUGAAAACAUCCCUGCAAAAUUUUUUGUCUUUUAAAAUAGUCCUUGGAUCCACUUUAUUGCUGAUUUGGCACAUUUUAGUCUACAUAGCAGUUGCUGACCAUGCAAUCAUGCACACGUGGCAAUUCACUUAUUUAAAAAUCAUUUUUAAAAAUUAGAUAAUAUAUUUUUGAAUUGAAAAAAAAUAUUUUUACUUGAUUAAAAAAUAAAUAAAACUGCAGAAAAGGGGGAAAAUAAAUUGUUCAUCUUCUUAACGUGUUCUUCAUCCCUCCUAACCCCAAACCUUGUUCUUCUUCCCAUAACCAAACCACCAUCAUCUUCUUCCUGUAACAACAAAAAUUAAAAAACUAGGAAGAAUAAUCAAAAUAUUCAUCUUCAACAAUCCAAAAUUCAUCAUUCUUUCAUUCAUUAAACCUAUAUUUCUCUCAAAUUUAAAUCCAAUUCAUCUUCUUACAAAUUCAAACCUAUAACAAAAUCAGAAGCAGCAAGGGAAAGGGAAAAACAGAAUUGCAAACUAGCAAGUUGAUACAACAAAAUGAAGUCGCUGCAUAUUGUAACAAGCGCAGCAGCAAGGGACUAUGUAGGAAAAAAAUACAGCAAAAUGGAAGAAAUCAGCGCUGUAACAACAUAAAUCCCCACAUUACAAAAACUUUCAUCAACAGCUGAAGGGCCGAACAACACAAACCCCAUAGCAGAUUCAAAAACAACGUCACAAACCCAGUUAUCAAGUCAUCGCCAUCGACCUCGUCGCGCUACGAUGUGCACCACCGUCAUCACCGCCGGCGUCCCGUUCACCAACCACCAAAUCUGCCAUCGCCGGCAACAGCCACAACGUGGCUGUUCUCACGUGACUCUCUUCCAUCACCAUGCCAUCACCGUCAUUCACCGCCGUGUUGAUGAAGAAGAAGAAAAACAGAAUCUGAGAAACACGUUCUGGUUAUUUAUUUCAAUUAAAAAUAAAAUGUUAUUUUUUUAACUAAUUUUCUAUGAAUUAAAACGAUUUUAAAAUAAUGUAAAAUGCCACAUGUACAAGAUAAUACAGUCAGCACCUGCCACAUAUGCAAAAAUGGGCCAAAUCAUCAGUAAAGUGGGGUCAAGGACUAUUUUAAAAAACAAAAAAUUUUGCAGGGAUGGAUUUCAAAAUUUAUUUUUACCAGGGACUAAAACUCAAAUUCGCUAUAUUUGCAGGGACCAAAAACAUAUUUUAGCCUUUAUAAUUUUAAAGAUCAAAUAUAUAAAUAUCUAUAACUUUUUUAAGGGAAGUAAAUAUCUAUAACCAUAACGUAUCUAAUUUAUUUAAAAUUGUUAUCCUCGCCGUUUUAGUUUACGACAAGUGUACGAAAAUGUUUGCAAUUUAUUUUUGUGCUAGACAUUAUUUAAACAUAUUAAAAAUUUAUUUAUAAAAAAAUCUAUAGGAGUAUUUUAUAGUACUUUUUUAUAUAAAAAAAUGUAAUUUUUAAUAAGGGCCGGCCCGUUAGCCCGUGUAGGGCCGGGCUCGGAUAGUAUAUUUUAAGCCCGUUUUUUCAACCGGACUUUUUGGUCCGGUCCGAUAAAGCCCGAAGCCCGUUAGAGCCCGCCCGUUUUGACAGCUCUACCCCCCCCCCCCCCGGCGCUUAUCUAGCUUUUGAAAUGAAUUUAUAGUUGUUACUUAAGGAUUAAAUAUUUAAAAAAAAAAAAAAAAAAACACUUAAAGAUUAAUAUAUACAGUUGUGUGUGGAGAUGCCUGACCCGUAAAAUAAAAACAUGUAUAAUGCUUAAAGUGGUAGAGCGCAACGACACUUUAUUUAUCUCAUAAGUAUAAACAAUGUGGUUCUUAAGAUGUAUAAGGUUAUUUCUAUGUGUUACACGUUGGUACAAAACAUGAUGAAUCCUGAUAUGGUGCAUAAGGUCAGAUCUUGUGUUGCACCGUGUGAUAUGACAAUGUGGUCACCUCAAUGGACUUGAACUUGACUCGUUUAUUCCGCCUUCAUGUCAUCUUCUUAAUGGCCUUUGCUAUUGGAUGACCCAAGUGAUAAUCGAGUCAUUCCUUUUAGCAUUGUACCAUUACACUAGCAUCGUACGAUUACACUAACCCUUGCUCACUAUGAUAAGUAACGGAUCUAAUAUUAUUAAAGAGAAAAGUUAUUGAAAAGUUUCGAUAUGAAAUUCGAAAGAAAAAAAAUACUAGUGUUAGUGCGUGAUUCCCAAUGUGAAACUCAGUUGUACACAAUAUAUGUUAUCCCCCUAUAGACUUGUAGCUCGUAGAAAAGAUGAAAGUUUAAAUGAUUUAUGAUGUGACUACUCAUGGGUUACAUUGCUUUGUUUCAUCGUAUUUUCAACAUUUGUUCAUGUUGUGGUGUUCGACUAACAUAGUGAUGUGAUUGUUGCUUUUAGAGAUGCAAUAUGAACAAUUAUAUUCGUUGGCAUAAGAUCGUAUUGUUUGAUCGCAAUGACUACCUCCAAAUCAUUUUCAAUCGUUGAUGAACGGUGCCCUCCAUUUUGAAUAUAUCCCCUUCAUCAUUUCCUUAUUAGGAAUUUUUUUCUAUGAUGGUUGAAGAUUUUUGUGCUUUUGAUUCCUCACUCUUUUGCUUUUUCAUUUUUCAGGUACAUUCUUGUUUUCCUUCAAAUUUAUUUGUAUUUCUCCAUAAUAUAAUCGAUGAACAACGCCCGAUUCUUUUUAGGUGAAGAAAGAUCCUCAACCUUCUAGUAUAAGUAAUUAACAAGAAAAUCCACCUCAUAUUCAUUCUUUCCAAGUAGUUCCAAAUAUCCCUAGUGAAGACUUAUAUAAGUACUUUUUUGGGGACGACUCAACAUCCAUUGAUCCCCCAUCAUCUGAGGUGUGUCAAAGUUUAGCCGACGUUGGCCUUCGAAAGAAGUUUCCUACCAAGCGAAGGAAGUGGACUCCCUCCGCACUUUAAUGACUCGCCUUGGAUAAUUUGUUGAUGUCCCUUCUACCCAAUGCCAGAUUUAUGCUCGGAUUGGUGUAUCAUUGAGAGAUAUAUCGAGUAAUUACAUGGGUUUCCAUAGAUAAUUGCAAUACGCCUGAUCUAUAUUUUAUCGGCUAUAUAAGCUUCAAUAGAAAAAAAAAGGCAUCAUUUAAGGCGUCCAAUAGUGGCAUAACAUCAAAUAAGAAUGGAUCUUUUGCAUGAACAAGAAAUCAAGUCUCAAACGUAUGAGUUGUUGGCCGAGAAUAAGUGGACUAACAAUGAACUACCAAUGUUGUACUAAGAGGCCAGUCUAAUAUCCAACAAACUCCAAGGUGUCAAUAAGUGGAGGCUCGAUCUCUUUACCAAAAAAUAUUAUAAUAUUAUAUUAACCAAAAAUCUCUUUUAUACAAUUGUAUCCAACCAAACUAAAUAAUAAUUUUUUAAAAAGGAAAAAUGUAUUUUUUCUAAUUUUUUUUUACUUUUGAAAAAUAUUUCUUUAUGAUAUAUUAACUCAGUUGAUAGGAACAAUGCAUAAAAUUCAUAGUUUUAAAACUCGGCUCGGUCAUCGACUCGACAUGGAUACUGGGUCAAUGAGUUAAUGGUCGAACCACUGACUCACUGGUUGAACUGCAUGACUGAAUCGGAUUAAACCGUAUGACUCGGUCAUAUGACCCGGUGUUAAUAUUAAAUUUUUAUAGGUAUUUAACUUGAUUAGGUUGGGUCGAACCGAUGACUCGGUCAUUUAAAAACUAAAAAAAACUAACAUGUAAUAUAUAUUAGUUAUUUUUUUAAAAGGUAUACCUAUAUUUUGUUGAGAGGAAAUAGUUUUUUUUUUUCAUAUUUAUUAAUAUUAAUAUAAUAUCUAAAUUUUAAAAAAAUUAUAUGCAUAUUAUUUUUUAGGGGUAUUUAUUAUUAUUAUUAUUGUGAAAAUAGAGACAUUUAAAGAUCAUGUGAUCUUUUUGAAGAAAAAAACAACGAUGUGUUUUUUGCUUUUAAAAAAAUGAAGAUGCAGCAUACAUACAUAUAUAAUAUAUUUGAUUAUUUUAGACAAACAAAUAGAUGGUGCGGUAGUUAAAUUCCAAGUCGUCCCCUCUCAUGUGUGCAGUUUGAAUCCUAGCAUACAAUUUUUUCAAAUUUUUAUUUCUCUACAAAAAUCAAAAGUCAAUGUAUUUCUUUCUUUAAAUUGCUCUCAUUUACUUAGGCUUUAAUUACAUUUAAUGCAUAUUAAAUCUAAUAAAUGACUAAUUAUGAAAAAAAAAACGUAAGAUAAAAAAUUAAACCGGAUUGGAUCAAAAAACCGGCCAAGUCACCGGUUUUAGCCGGUUUUUAACGAGUCUUACCGGUUUGAGCCGGUUUAAUUACAUGGCCGAUCCGAUAAAAGGCUCGAACCGACACACCCUCCGGUUCACGGUCGGACCGGUUCGACCGGCCGGUCCAGGUUUCAAAACUAUGAUAAAAUUUAUCUUUUUUCUUUUAGCAAAGAAAUAUAGAUUCUUAAUUUUAAAAUACCCUAUAAUUUUUUUUUUAAAAUUAUUUAUUAUUAUUAACUUAAUUUAAUUUUAAUCCGUAACAUAUAUCAUAAUUUGGUGCGAAAAAAAUUGGGAUAGACUCAAUUGGGUCCGAGUCAAUACAAAUUCAAAUUGCUUCAAACUCUAUUCUGCUCAACUCUCUCUCUCUCUGGUAGGUUUUCUCUCAGUCGCUUUCAAUUCUUCUUCUUUCAUGCUUUCGAAAUCGCUCUGCACUGUUUUUGUUUUUCUUUGUUUUGAUUCUCAGUGAAAAUCACUCACUUCGAAACCCUAAACCCUAAAUCAAUCUCUGAGAUGGUUUUUACUUCAAUUGCGUGUUACGCUGCUUGAUUUCGAUGCUAACAUGUGAACGAACACUUCGUUCUACAGUUUCGAUCAUCAUUUUUCAUCACGUAAUGUGUAAUUUGAUUUUACAAACAAAAUUACUAUUUCUGUGUCGUUUAUGAGUUCAGUAUUGCUUUGUUGGUUUUCUGAAUUUGCUACAUGCGCAGAUUAUGAAGGAAGCGAUUUUUGAAAUUUUUUGUGAUUCUGAUUUUUAUUUUUUUUAUUUGAUGAUUACAUGUUCUUUAUUGAUUGCCAUGAGUUUUCCAUCUUUAGUAACUUAGUUGAUUGCCACUGGUUUCCAAUUCCAUCCGUUGUUCUUCAAUUGAAAUUGAAAUUGAAUGUAAUUGCAUGUGUUUAUACAGACUAAAUGCUUUGUAAAGGAAAAUGUUUGAAUAAUUCAUUGUAGAUUUGUAGUGGGAUUGUGUUGUUUCAUAUUAUGCAUAAACAGUAUGUCAAUUUAAAUCAUUCUUCAUUAUAUAUAGUCAAUUUAAAUAAUAUAUUUUAUUUUAUUUUAUUUUAUUUUGAUGGCGGGAUGGCGGCCACCCCAAACUUUUUUGUCUGGCUCCGCCGCUGCACGGGACAGUAAAUUCUGAUUUUAUAUUGUGAAUUUCUGAAUUAUGAAUUUUAACAUAUGAUUUUAUUUUUGUAGGGUUGGUUACGAUAGUUUCAACAUGUUCAUUAAGCAGGUAAUUUUGUUUAGAAGUUCUUUGAUACAUUUAUUUAUUUUUUCAUUUGCAUUUACUUUUGUUGUAAUAUACUCUGGUUGCUAUUAUAAGCAAAGAUUACCUUUCAAAUUAUCAUCAUAUAGAAAAUUUCAUAGGAAUGGAAGGCAACAAGCUGCGCCACUAACCCUUUCUAGGUUCAUUAAAAAUUGGAUGUAUCUGGUUUAUAAUAUAGACUAGAUACAUCAGUUAUUCAACAAACCCGGCCAAAUAAUAUUUGCUUAUAAUAGUGAUAGAAGGAAGUAACAUUUGGUUAAAUAAUUCUUCCAUAUUUUAAAUUUUUUUCCUUCUUCGAUGUCCUUUAUAUUCUUGCUUUUUUGGAGUUGGUUCCUUGCUAAAUGGACUUGUAUCUUUUUUUAAGGUUGUGAUUGAAGGUUUCAAGAGUUAUCGAGAGCAAAUUGCCACAGAGGAUUUCAGUCCUAAAGUUAACUGUGUUGGUAAUAAUUUUAUUCAAAAGCUUUUAGAUGAUUUUGUGUUGAUUCAGCAUAAUCCUUUGAAAUGCAUGAUGUAGGAGUUUCAUUUGUGACAUGUCAUGAUGGAAGCUCAAUAAAGUUUGAAUUUGAUACAAUGUGAAAUGAAUUUAGUCAAGUUUCGUUUCAGUGCAUUAUAGCUUGUAGAAAUCUAAGUGUUUUUUUUAAUUACGAAUGAUAUUUGUCAGCAUAGUUUGUAAAUAGUUGCAAAUAGACAUACAUACAGUAUUACUCUUUGUAUAAUGGAAACUUUUCCUAUGGUAUGAUCCUAUUCCGCAAUUCUUCUUCUUUUUAAGGAUGAAAGACAAUUUUUAUGAAAAGGAACAGAUGCCCAAAUGUUGACAGUAUGGUAGUCUCAAGAGUAACAAGAUGGAGAGAAACAGGAAUACUCAUUACAAAAUCUUAGAUGAAUAUGCCUAAAACAACCAGCUAUCUUAGCACUAACCAUAACACUGAGUUACCGCAAAAUCUGCUGAUUUCCAUUAAGCGUUGCCAUAAAUUCUGCAAAGGCUUUGGAAAGCUGCCCCAUGUAGAUAUAGUAUCAGAACAAUGUAGGAACCAUUACUAGUAUUGGUUGAGGCAUGACCAUGGUUUUAUUAGAAAGUGCUUUAUUAAGAUUGUAAUUCUGGAAAAAGUCAUAUGUUUUUGAUUCUAAUGAAUGUUAUUAUCCCAAAUCCAAUCGAAAGACUCCCCUUUGGAACAAACCUUUGAAUCCAUUUCCUAACUUGGGCUACUGAAAGGAAUUCUGUUUGGAAGAUUAGUGAGAUUAGGGUUUACUGAAAGAAGAUUUACUAGCUUAACUAUUUCUGUGAGGGGGGCUAGCGAAAAAGAGUCCUUUUUGGAAAGUACAUCCUUUGUUCACUACAUUCUCUUCAUACUCUGAUAAUUCUUCCUUUUGUUUAUUCCAUCUAAUUUAAUGUGAAGUUGUCUCAAAAUGUCAUUUUGCAUCUUUCCUGUUUCGGUCAAAUUCAUGUGUUCAGUGACAUUAAUAGUAUCUGUUUGCUCAUUUUUUUGCAGUUGGUGCUAAUGGAUCUGGCAAAACAAUUUUUUUCCAUGGUAAGAAAAUCGCCAUUUCCUGUGUCACUGUACUUAUAACUUGACCAGAUUUUACUCUUUGUGAAGUAGCUGAAACUGAAUUGCUCAUCUUGAAUUUGACACUUGUUUUCCCUCCUUUUGUUUUGUAUCUAGCCAUUCGUUUUGUGUUAAGUGAUCUCUUUCAAAACCUACGCAGUGAGGAUAGGCAUGCACUACUCCAUGUAUGACACAAUUCACACCUCCUUUUAUAUUUUUACUUCUGUUUCCUACCCAGGCAGGGCUAAUCAAUUCUAGAAUUUGACAAAGCUUAAAUUUAUUUUUCUCUCUACAGGAAGGGGCUGGACACCCGGUUUUAUCUGCAUUUGUGGAGAUUGUGUUUGAUAAUUCGGACAAUCGUAUCCCGGUAAUAUUUUGAAAAUAAUAGUUUCAUUUAUAUUAGUAGACAAGGAGGAUGAUUUUCCAAUUUUUUUGAAGUUCCUUUGGUUUAAUUACAUUAUAAAAAGACCACUUAUGCAUGUUUUGUUUUCUGCUUGAAAAAGAAUAGAAAUGCUAUUUUCUUGUCUUGUUGGGUAAUAGACGAAUACUCUAAUUUUCUGGAAAUGAUAAAAUUGUAUUAACAUAAAUUCUGGGGAAGAGUCCUCUGCAAUGGUUGGAGCUUCCCUUCGAUAGACAACUUUAAAAAGUCGUGUGUCUAUGGAAGCAUUGUUAGAGGAAUUGGACCAAAAUCAACCCAUACUAACCUUACUUACUAAAUCUUUGGAUGGCCAUUCAUAGAACACCUCAAAUACACCUCUAAAGUUCUAUUAGUUACUUCCGAUUGCCUAUUUGUUUUGGGGAUGAUAUGUUGAGCUAUAUUUCAACUUGGUCCCUGCCUUUUUAAACAACUCUUUCCAAAACAGCCUCAUAAACUCAUCAUCUUUGUCUGAAAUGAUGGGACCAGGGAAUCCUUGCAGCCUUGCUACUUCCUCAAUGAAAACUUGAGCCACAACCGUAGAAAUAUAUGGAUGGCUCAGUGCAAUGAAAUGAACAACCUUGGAUUGGACAGCCUGUUCACCACUACCAAAAUAGAAUCGUCGCCUCUUGAUUUGGGCAGCACGGAGUUGGUUGCAGCUGCUCUGCUGGUUUAGGGGCCUGAUACUUGUUUUGUUGGCAAAUUGCACACUUUUCCACCAACUCUUCUAUGUUUUUUCUCAUUCCCUUUCAGUGGAACACAUUAGCCGCCCUUUAAAAUAUCCUCAAAGCCCCUGAGUGUCCUCCCCAAGAUGAGGAAUGAAACUCCUAUGAUCAAAGGAAUGCAUGCUGAUUUUUCUGGAAACACUUUUACCAUUGUUCCCUCCUUCACGCCUCACUGUUCCUCCCUACUUGGGUUCCCAGGCCUAUUAUCCUUCUUUCUUUCUGAUUUGGUACACAUACUUGACUGGUCUAUCAUUGUGCGACUGGUCUAUCAUUGUGCGUAAAUUGAAUCCUGUUGCAUGAUUGCCAUGGCAGGGAAAAUGACUUUAUCUAGAAAUAUUUUAUAGAUUAUAUUUGCAAAGAUUCUGAUUAGUCACCUUUUUUUUUCCUGGCUAUAGUAUUAGUUACGAUAUUAAUCUCUACCUUUUUAAAUGGUGGUUGAUUGGAUAUUUAUCCAUUCUCACGCACUGAUUUCUACACUUUGGGUUUUGUCAAUCUAUCAACAUAAAGGAUCUAUAGGCUAAAAAGGAAUCUGGAUUUAGUUAACUGACAACUUGUGAUGACUGGAUGCAUAUUAUUUCCAUAUUCCUCUUUUAAUUAUACAUGCCAUUUUUAACUCAUCAUUUUUCUAUGUUGAAGUAAUUUAUUCUUAUUCCAUGCAUGGAUGUGCUUGGCAUUGUUCUCUGGGGUUUUGAUUGUACUCUUCCUUAAGUUGAGAAGUAAUUUAAUUAAUGAUAUGGUUCUCUGGGUUGGUGAGAGUUUUUAUUUGAAAAACAUUCUGAUACAAUUUCAUUUGUUCAGAACUUGCUUUAUAAUAAAUAUCCUUUUAUCUAAGUUGUCUGAAAAAUCUAUCGAUUGGUGCUUGGCGAUGCAUUUUUUACAUUGCGCCCGAAGAGCUUGCAUUUUACUUUAUUAUUCAAGUCCUUUAUCUUUGACAACCACUUAUUGCGAUAUUUGCACAUGUACUUUAUCUUGGUAUCUAUUUGUGGAGGUAGUCCUGAUUGGGCACUUUGGACAUAUUAUUUAAACACACACACAUCAAAAUGUAUUUUACUUAAUUCUUUAAAAAAUAAAUAUUAUUCAACUAUUUUCUCUUUCCACUUUUUCUCAUUAUUGUAUGUGUGCAUAAAAUUGAUGUGUUGGGUAUGUGUCAAAGUAAGUAUUUUUCCUAUUUGUGUCGGAGGAUAGGUUGACAAAGAGGAAGUGCACUUACGCAGGACGAUUGGUUUGAAAAAGGAUGAAUACUUUCUAGAUGGAAAACACAUCACGUGAGUGUAAUAGAUUAAGAUAUAGAGCACAUACUGUACAUUCAUUUUUAUAUAAAAUUGACGUUUUAUCUUAUGCCCUUUGGUUAUUUGAGUAGUUAUUUACCUAUAUCCUAAAGAAAGAUGAUAAAUACUUUACAGGAAAACUGAAGUGAUGAAUUUACUAGAAAGUGCUGGGUUCUCUCGCUCAAAUCCAUAUUAUGUUGUGCAACAAGGAAAGGUAUUGGUGCAUGCUGAUGGUGCUAUUGUUUGGUCUUUUAGAUUGUUAUGUUGAUAAACGUUGAAGCAAUUACUAAACUUGCUGUUUUCUUGCUCUUGCCUAGAUAGCAUCCCUGACCUUGAUGAAAGACUCUGAGCGAUUGGAUUUACUGAAGGAAAUAGGUGGUACUAGAGUUUAUGAGGAGAGGCGCCGUGAAAGUUUGAAAAUAAUGCAGGAUACAGGCAAGUCUUUCAAACUCUAUUUUUUUUAUUUUUUUUUAUUUUUUAUAAUUUAAAAUUUCUGAAUUUUUAUGUUUAAUUUCAUGUUAUAGAUGUUUUUAUCAUGUAUUUUACUGUGAGACAGGUAACAAAAGAAAACAAAUUAUCCAAGUUGUACAGUAUUUAGACGAGAGGUUGAAGGAACUAGACGAGGAGAAAGAGGAACUUAGAAAAUAUCAGCACCUUGACAAGCAGAGAAAAUCCUUGGAAUAUGCCAUAUUUAGCAAAGAAGUUCAAGAUGCUCAACAAAAGCUUGCAGAGGUUUUCUAUAUUAAAAUGUUUUCACAUUUAUAAUUAUUUGAAUGAUAUUUUUUACUGUGUUUUAUUUUUGAACUUCUUUCUUGAUGAUUGGAUUGUCUAUUAAAUCCAUUUAGGUGAUGAUAUGUUGUUUUUGUUAAUUCUUGCUGUAUGGUUCAAAAUCAAUGCUGAGAUCAGAUGGCAGAUGUUAUAGUAUAAAUCCUUAUGAAGACCUUGUUUUUGUUUUCAAUUAAUAUUUUGUUUGGGUGUAGCUAAAUAGACAGUGGUAGAUACUUAAGUACUUGAGAUACCUCCAGCCGAAUCACAGUUCUCAAUUGUUAGUAUCAAAGAGACUGGACAAACAAAUGGGAAGGUUUUAAUGAUAACGAUUCUGGAGUAAACCAGAAAUAUAAUACAUCAACUCAGUUCACUACCUACCAUAAUAAUAACCGCCACCCAUACAUACAGGGAUAAAAUGCACAUAACUGUCCUCCCAUUCUAUCUGUCUAAUAAAAUUAACUGUCCUAGCUGCUUAAUAAAAUAACUGCCGUACAUACACAUUACUGUCACCAGCAACUCCAUUUUCUUUGGACAUUAACUUUCCAAGGCCUUGUGCCGUAGACUGGUCUGUCAUCAAUUUGCUGAAAGGUGGAGGAAAGUAAUGACCUUGGUAAAAGUAAAAGCCAAACAAUGUUAUUGAUUAGGGAUGGCGGACAAUGGCUGAAGGCUAAAAUUCCGACAUUUUAAGUUUACGUUUCUGCUAUAAAGUGCCAUGGUGCUGCUGUCCGUCACAAAUUGACCAUCACGGUUGUUAAGAAUUCCGGCAUUUAUAACACUUGAGUUCGAUCGUGUAGCGAGUAAAAUGUACUUGACAUUAUACUCAUAUUAAUAGCAAAUUAAUGAUCUUCCAACUUAGUUGACAUCUCUAAAUUUGUGAUGUUUUGGAGAGACCAGACUACUUGGUUUUGCAGAGCAGGUUUUAGGGUAAGUCUUCCACCUCGUUCAUACCCAAAUCUUCUGCUCUUUAGUCUUCUAGCAGUUGGCUACUAUGUCACUCCUCCCUUUCUCUAUUGUAAUUGUCUCUCAUCUCUAUUUCAUCCUCGCCAAUUCCCGAUCAGCCUAACAUCCUUGACUCCUUUUAUCCCUACUAAGUGAACUAGGGUGAAAUGCUCUCAAAUAUUCAAUGCAAUUAUUUGCAGCUUUAUAAUUGUACACUCUAACUUUUUUUCGGUCUUCAUAGAUCAAUAAAAAAUUAGGAUGCCAAAUUUAUAUUGUUAUAGUCUUCUAGACUUUUUUAAUUCUGUUUUUACUAUAUUGAGUUUCUGAUGCCUGAAGGUAGAUUCUUGACUCCUUGUUUUAGAUAGAACAAGCUCGGAACAAGGUCUCUGAAAUAUCAGCAAAGAAGUAUAAUGAGGUUCUUGAUGCACAAGAGAAAUCCAAAGAUUUGGAGAAUAAUUUGAAAGAUAUAACAAAGGAACAUCAAAACCUUAUCAAAGAAAAAGAAGUUAUUGAAAAGAAACGAACAACAGCAUUAAAGAAGCGCACAGAGCUUGAGCUUGAUGUCAAAGACUUACAAGGGAAGAUCUCUGGAAAUAGGCAUGCC